RNAcentral lists this ribosomal RNA (631 nucleotides) under Triticum aestivum (bread wheat). RNAcentral describes it as "partial small subunit ribosomal RNA". Lineage: Eukaryota; Viridiplantae; Streptophyta; Magnoliopsida; Poales; Poaceae. The record is from RNAcentral.
GGCACAAGUAGUUUACUCGAACUAUUUUUCAGUCAUAACAAACAUUCAAGAAAGCAUGAGCAUUUGCCAUUUACAAAGUCUGUUCAACUCUGCACAUGUACAAGUACCAUUCAAAUCUGAUCAAUUCAGCAGAACUAGAGUAACAACAGAGCUUUUACAGCAGAACUACAACAGAGUAGAACACUAGUUCAGUCAUACAGAGCUUUUCUGUUUUUACUCUGAAAAAUUUCGUACAGCAAGACCAAAUGCAAGCAGCCGAGCAGAUGGCCCGCAGAAGCCUUGACGGCGUUGGCUUCGUGGCCUCGGCAGCUCGGGGGCGUUGACGGCGCCGGCUCCGCAGCUCCACGGCCUCGACGGCGCCGGAUCCGCAGCUCCAUGGCCUCGACGGCUCCGAGGCAUCGCGUCUCGCUCUGAGGCUCAGUUGCCUCCGCGGCUAGGCGGCGUCACACCCUGGACGGGGCAGAGGCUAGCUCCGCCUCCUCCACGGCUAGGCGAACUCGCGUCUUGCCGGAGCUGCUCGUCCCCGACGGCUAACCUAAGGCGAGGCGAGAGUUUUUUUUACAAGCGAGACGAGAGCUCAAGCGAGCGAUGAAUCGGUGGAUGGCGUAGGAUUGGGCCGCUUGUGUUCGUG